UGGGGAAUUUUUCGCAAUGGGCGCAAGCCUGACGAAGCAACGCCGCGUGGAGGAUGAAGGCCCUCGCGGUCGUAAACUCCUGUCUAGCGGGACGAAAGUACUUCAGGUGAAUAGGUUGAGGUAUUGACUGUACUGCUGGAGGAAGCUCCGGCCAACUCCGUGCCAGCAGCCGCGGUAAUACGGAGGGAGCAAGCGUUACUCGGAAUUAUUGGGCGUAAAGGGCGCGUAGGCGAUUCGGUAAGUCUCGUGUGAAAUCCCAGUGCUUAACGCUGGAAGAGCACGGGAAACUGCUGAAUUUGAGUUCCGGAGAGGAAGGCAGAAUUCCCGGUGUAGCGGUGAAAUGCGUAGAUAUCGGGAGGAAUACCAGUGGCGAAGGCGGCCUUCUGGACGGAUACUGACGCUGAGGCGCGAAAGCUAGGGGAGCAAACGGGAUUAGAUACCCCGGUAGUCCUAGCCGUAAACGAUGUGCACUUGGUGUGAGCCGGAUUUCGGUUCGUGCCGAAGCUAACG
This 510-nucleotide ribosomal RNA is filed under the name uncultured Acidobacteriota bacterium. Its description in RNAcentral is "bacterial SSU rRNA". It matches the Rfam family "Bacterial small subunit ribosomal RNA", at positions 355 to 857 of the family's 1533-position model. Lineage: Bacteria; Pseudomonadati; Acidobacteriota. The record is from RNAcentral.